UAAUACGUAGGGGGCGAGCGUUACCCGGAAUUACUGGGCGUAAAGGGUGCGUAGGCGGCCCUGUAAGUCUGGUGUUAAAAUCCACGGCUCAACUGUGGGAGAGCACUGGAAACUGCGGGGCUUGGGUGUGGCAUAGGCAGAUGGAACUGCUGGUGUAGGGGUGAAAUCCGUAGAUAUCAGCAGGAACGCCGGUGGAGGAGUCGGUCUGCUGGGCCACAACCGACGCUGAGGCACGAAAGCUAGGGGAGCGAACCGGAUUAGAUACCCGGGUAGUCCUAGCCGUAAACGAUGCUCACUUGGUGUGGGGGCGGAAGCCUCCGUGCUGAAGCUAACGCGUUAAGUGAGCCGCCUGGGGAGUAUGCCCGCAAGGGUG
Molecule: ribosomal RNA, 373 nt
Filed under: uncultured bacterium
Lineage: Bacteria
Description: bacterial SSU rRNA
Rfam family: Bacterial small subunit ribosomal RNA
Source: RNAcentral